This is a small nuclear RNA of Trichechus manatus latirostris (Florida manatee), 114 nucleotides long. RefSeq annotates it as U5 spliceosomal RNA. NCBI's taxonomy places the organism in Eukaryota, Metazoa, Chordata, Mammalia, Sirenia, Trichechidae. The record is from RefSeq and is a predicted model, not a curated record. The transcript has a single exon.
AAAUUCUGAUUCCUCUUCAGUUUGCAUGAUCUUUCACCUUUUACUACAGAUUUCCAUGGAGAGGAACAAUUCUGAGUUCUUAGCUGAAUUUUUGAGGCCCUGCUACAGCAGGGC